Molecule: long non-coding RNA, 23591 nt
Filed under: Setaria italica (foxtail millet)
Lineage: Eukaryota; Viridiplantae; Streptophyta; Magnoliopsida; Poales; Poaceae
Description: long non-coding RNA (SITA_LNC000917)
Source: RNAcentral
UGCGCCAGCUACGCUGCAGCGAUGCCCGUUCAUGGGCCUAUCUUAACUACCUUAGCCAUUCGGGCCCAACAAGGAUAAUGUUGGGCUUCCGUACCUGAUGGCCCACAACUUCGGCUUUACUGCACUUAAGAUAAAUAUCAUGUACGGUUCACUGGAGAAGCCCUCCACCAGUUGUAGUUGCUAGUUAGUACAGGUCUUAUCUACAACCCUGCAUUAGCUAUCUCACUCUAAUUUGGCUAGCUGUCAGGACAGUCUGCUUACUCGAAACUUGAGGCAUGUUUCUUUAAUAUAAUUUUCUUUUCUUCUUGGAUGUUUAUAGCGCAUACGUGAUCUUUUGAAGUACUGCUAUAGAGAGGAAGACAAGUUCUUCUCAUUUAACAUCUUUUUUUUAAUUUAUUUUUGUUAAACUUUUAGAUCAAUCGUUUGAAUUCUCCUCAAUAUUUGCUUGCUUCAUGUUCUCUUUGUUUUUGUGCAACAGUAUGAUCUUGGAAUAGGAAUGCUGCAAGACAAUUCAAAUAGAAGGUUAGUUUCAUCAUAUUAUAUGGUUAAAAUUACUUUAAAAUUAUAUGGUUAAAAUUACUUUGUAAUGGUUGACUGUCACUGUUGUUUGCAUUGGCAGAUCAUGGAUGGAAUUCCUGCAAGAGCCAAGCACAAACUGUUGUCAGCGCUUCUCUGUUGAUGUUUCGUUUCUCGUUGCCACCUUUCUUGCAGACCGGUUAGGGUUAGGUUACACCAUCUGCUUCAGGUGAUUUCGGGAAUGUGGAAUGUUUCCUCUUCAUUUGAGAAGAAAGAGAGAGUGUUUUGUUGGAAUAUUACUGGUGCGUAGGUUUAUGCAUGGCUUUUCAGGGCUCAAAUCAAGGGGAAAAAAUAGACUAAUGGGCUGGUAAAUUUAUGUUCUGGUAAAAAUAGACUAAUGGCUUUAUUUAGUUCCACGAAUCCUGGUGAACUCCGGAACUUAAAAUGAAAUCCUAAAAUUGUUUCUCUAACCUCCUAUCUCAAUAUGGGCUGUUCUUUUUUUUUUUCUGGUCAACUAUUUCCCCCAACUUACGGACCCAUCUCGGCCUGCAGGCCUGCCGAGGCCUCUUCUCUCCUUUCGUCGUUCGGUCCCUCUAAUUUCGCUCUUGUGCUUGCGCACCAGGCGCCAUCUCUCACCGCGCCAGGAGCUUUGCAGCGCCAGACGGCCCCGCUCCACACCACAAUAUUCUUCCUUGGAACCUGCGGGCUCCGCUGAGCCGCUGCGUGAUCUUCUAUUCGCGACUCUGUGUACCUCGCCAUGUUACAAUUGCCUUCACUUUACUUCAUCAUUGCUCUCUAACCUAGGUACUCGGUUAUGAACAGCGCGCCGGCUAAGCGAGUACCCGGUGAAGGCGAGCGCAACGAGCCCUAGCACAUGGCAUCCAUCGAAAAUACAGAAUUUUCAGAGUAUGGAAUUUUCAGUCCGCGGUGUGGCCAACAUUAUCUUUAUAUGAUUUUAUUUGCAAACCGAGUUUUUAAGUAACAACGUAAAUAAAACACUCUCGUAUCAUUGCUCUAAAGGGGGAGUAAGGAAUAACAGAAAUAACGUCGUGCCAUUCCCCAGAAACAAAGAACAACUGUAAAAAUUGGUUCUAGAUGAAGCUAAAUUGACCAUCGAUGGCGAUUGUGUCAACACGGCAAACAUCCAUACAGCUAGCAUUGACUGACUUGGCUGAUAAAUCCAGGCCACUUCACUGUUGAGUACUUCAGGAAACUCGACAGGUCUUAUGACAAGUCUCGGUUGACUCGAAUUAUUGACCUUAGGACACUGACCUUGAUUUCCUCAUCCCCUUUCCUAUUGUCUUGCGGUCCAGAUGCCCAUUACCCAGUGCCUACCAGUGUGUGCUUCUCCCUCCGAUUGUACAUACGUGCGGGUCCCACAUAUCAGCCCCUUCCAUCCUCUUUACUUUAUAAUCUCCAAAGCAUGGGCCGCCCUUCUUUGUUACCUGUAUGGCUGUAUCACCUCCCCUGCCGAUGAGUGCCCAUGCAUGCUGAUACUUUGGUACCAUCUGCUCCAACCAAGCACCACCUCUCAUGCAAGUCAACAUAGAUGGUAUUUGGUGUCAAUUCACUGCUUAUAUUUUUAAAUGAAUUUAAUAUAAAUUUUGAUUAUCUAUUGCUUCUAAAUUCAUGUCGAAAUUAAUUUGAUAAUUUUUUAACCUAUAAUAUCCUAUACUUCAUUUUAUGAGGAAACUAUCAGAAAAUGAAUUGUAAUUUUUAUGACUCAUAUCUAUUUGCUCUCUUUAUUAGAUAUUUUGCUUUCCAAUUGUAUGUAAAUCAAACUUUUAUUUUAUUUUUAUCAUUCGGAGUUUUAGUUUUUUUAUUACUUCCAUGUCAAGAUGAUAUUCUGGACAAGAUUCCAAUCAACCUUUUGAAAAUCUAACCACUAUUGACAGCUUUUAGAAUAUUCAGUUUGAAAAUUAGAAUACUCAUUGAAAGACAUAAUAUAAUAUUUUGUAUGUUUAUAUAAUAUCUUCUUACUGAAAAUAGCGGCCACACAGCUAUGUUAUCCAAAACACCUUCUUUUCUUUAAGAACAGGGGAACGAUUGUUUUUUUCCUAUUUUAUUAAUAUGAUAUUUUAUAGUCAAUCCGGAGACUUCUUUUCUCUUAGCUUUGCCUUAUUAAAAUAACAAUUGAAGAUUCCGUAACUAUGGUUGGAGCCAGAUAUUUACUUCCAUGGCCCCAGUUCGCUGGUCUUCCUCUCGAGUCAGCGACCGGAAUGUGUGGUUCAGAGCAACCAGAGAACAGAAUAUCUACACACGAUUGAUUGGAAUUUGGAAACUGCAAACCAGUAGCGCAAUGGCUCCUGCCAAGGAUCGCCUCCACAACCUUCUGGUCCUGCUCUUGUUCAUAGGUUGCCUCUUCAUAGAUGCUGCCGCCAAGCUUAACACCACAGCGCCUUGCCUCCCGGAUCAAGCUUCUUCCCUCCUCCGGCUAAAAGCUUCCUUCAUCGGUGACAACCUACCAUCAUGGCAAGCUGCAACAGAUUGUUGCCACUGGGAGGGCGUCACCUGCGACAUGGCCUUUGGAAGAGUCAUUUCUCUUGACCUCAGUGAGUUCCACCUAAUGAGCAGGCGUCUUGAUCCUGCGCUCUUCAACCUCACCUCUCUCAGGAACCUCAGCCUUGCAUCUGUUGACUUCAGUGGAUAUUUCAUUUCGCUCCCGGCUUUUGGGUUUGAGCGGCUCACGGAUAUCAUUUACCUCAACCUCUCUGAUACCGGUUUUAAGGGUAAGAUCCCAAUUGGAAUUGCGUGCCUCAAGAACCUUGUGACCAUUGACUUGUCUGGUAAUUACAACUUGUAUUUUGAACGGCCAAGUUUCCAAACCAUCAUGGCAAAUAUGAGCAAUCUGAGGGAGCUUUAUCUUGAUGAAGUGGGUUUACAGGACAUCGGAUCGGAUUGGUCCACUGUUUUAGCAGACUCCGUUCCCCAGCUACAGAUUCUUAGUUUGUCCCGCUGUGAUAUAUCAGGUUCUAUCCACCCUUCAUUCUCAAGGCUUCGCUCACUUACAGCGAUCAACCUCGGAUACAAUGAUGGACUCACCGGCGGCAAAGUCCCGGAGUACUUUUCUGAACUAUCUUCCUUGACCAUUUUAGACAUAUCAGGAAAUCAAUUUGAAGGGCAAUUUCCAACAAAAAUAUUCCAGCUAAAAAGUUUGAGGACGCUUGAUUUGUCCUGGAACCCCAUGCUUUCUACGAGAUUAACAUAUUUCCCAGCUGGAAACAAUUUGGAAGUACUAAAUCUAGAAGGGACCAAUUUCUCUUAUGACACGCCAUCCUCGUUUGGUAAUCUCGAGUCUUUACAGACAUUGGGGCUUAGCACGAUGGGCAUUGAUAAUGAACUCGCCUCUUUGAUAUCUGAGCUUCCAGCAUUGGAUGACCUGCAACUCUUUGGGUCAGGUUUGGAGAACCCGGUAUUAUCUUGGGUCAGCAAUCUUACCCAAUUGACAAACCUGCAGCUUGAUGGUUAUGACUUCACUAAAUCGGUUCCCACUUGGAUCGGCAAAUUGACAAGGCUGGAAAGUUUGACGAUAGAGGAUUGCAGUUUCUCCGUGCCAAUACCAUACCAGAUUAGAAAUCUUACUAAAUUGGCAGCGCUGCAGUUCUCAGGUUGCGACUUCGCUGAGCAAAGAAUGCCAUCAUGGAUAGGCAAUCUUACAAAGUUGACUUCUUUGGUCAUUGGUGGUUGCAGUUUAUCUGGGCCAAUACCCUCAACAAUUGGGAACCUGAUCCAACUUGAAGAGUUGAAGUUCUCCUAUACUGACAUCAGCGGUGAGACUAUGUCCCAGUUACUUUCUUUCUAGAUACCUCAUUUUAUUUUGCAACUGUAGACAGACGCUUUAAUUUCUUUAAUUCGCUCUUGCUCCUCAUACUCGAACUAGGAAGCAGGGGAUACCUACUAUAUGACACGUCAUGCAUACACUGUUAAAAAAAAUAAUGAAUUUAAGUGAAGAAGAAAAUUUAACACUACCAAAUCAAUAGAGUGACCUUCAGAAAAAAAGAAAAAGGCUUUGGCUAGUAAUUUUCGGCGCUGUUGAGAAAAGAAAAACCCUGAUAUUUUCACUUUGAGUCUAUGACCAAAUUUUCAUAGUUUCACAGUUUGGAAGGUUAGAUGCCUUUAACACUAGUACACACGAGUCACGACUCAGGUCUUCUUUUCCUUCUUUUUUUUCUCUCUUGACAUGAUUCAUUUCAGAUACCAUAAUACAGUAUUGGUCCAUUUAUAAAUAUACCAAGGAAUAUUAAUUUUUUCGGACAGGCCUUUUUUAUUAUUUUGAUCAGAUUUACAUGUAAAUGUUCUCUAACAAGAAAUCAACUUUAGUAUAUAUCAUUUGUAGAUCGAAACACUGGAUCUGUAAAAUAUAUAUUGAAUAUGUUGUGUUAACGUUGUUCAACUUUCUCCGGUCUAAGGCCUCUUUGAAACAAAGGAACAACAAAAGAACUAUUGAAAAACCUGAGCGUGGUCUCUCUCUCCCUCUCUUUCUCUCUCAAACCUGAGCGUGGUCUGGAUUUUCUACUGAUUUGUGAAGGAAGAGGACCCUUUCUUUCUUGUGGAAUUGGAAUUGGAUGGUGCAUUCCCAAAUUCCAAAAUCCAAACGGUACUUUCCUUUCCUCCGGAACGCAGUUACUUUAGUGUCCUUGCCCCCUGUCAGUUUCGUCGCUUUUUUAGGCUAGUCUCAAUGCACAACUUCAUUGCAUUGUUACCAAAACUGCAAACUUGGUAACUGUGCCUGUUGGAUUUCAUGGGAAUGAAACUCCUCUCCCAUUUCAUGAAACUCCAUCCUCUCUCCUCAUAAAGACUUUGCCAAAUCAGCAAAAUUGCUGAUGUGGUAUAGAAAUUAAUGCUGAUGAAACUUUUUAUAAAACUUUCACUGAGACUAGCCUUAGAUUGCAGCAACAUUCGGAUAUGUUUAGCUCCAAUGUAAUGAGAUGCUAAUUUGGUUCAAUUUCAUACUAGCACUUUCAGUGUGAAAAAACAUUAAUAAAGUCUGCAACAUUCUGACUGUUGGUAUUCUACCCUAACAUGCAGGAAAAAUUCCGAAGUCUUUGUUCACUCUUCCAGGCCUGCAGCAUCUUCAUCUAAUUAAGAAUCAGCUUGUUGGCUCACUAGAAGACAUUCCUGCUCCUUUAUCGUCACCAUUGCGGGAGAUUGAUUUAGGAGGUAAUCAAUUGACAGGCCCAAUACCAAAAUCACUUUUUCAGCUCACGAAUCUUGAGCGUCUCAGUCUUGAAUCGAAUAAAUUGACAGGCACAAUAGAACUUGGCUCUAUAUGGAGGUUGAAAAAUCUCACUUAUCUUAACCUGGGUAACAAUUUGAUAUCACUCGUAGAAAAAGAAGGUGAUAUGAUAUUCUCUUAUUCCCUUAAAAUCCAAGAGUUAUACCUUCCAUCUUGCAACCUUACAAAAUUUCCGGAAUCAUUAAAAUAUCUUGACACUAUUCAAGUUCUCGACCUUUCUAAUAACCAAAUCGAAGGGGCCAUACCUAGUUGGGUGUGGGAGAAUCCCCUUGUUGAGUUGGAGCUCUCACGCAACAUGUUUACUACUUUAGAGAAGUCUCCUGCUGUUCAGAUGACACAUUUAGUUUUUCUUAAUCUCAGUGUUAAUAGAAUUCAAGGAAGCAUACCAAUACCAUCAACUCCAUCCGACCUGGUUCUGUUGGAUUACUCAAAUAAUGAUUUCUCUACCAUUGAACCUAACUUUGGCAGGUAUCUUAGAAAUGCCAUCUACAUCAAUUUGUCAAAAAAUAAAUUAAGUGGCCAUGUACCACUUUCAUUUUGUAGUUUAAGCCAACUUGAGCUCAUGGACUUAUCUUACAAUAACUUUAGUGGACCAAUUCCAUCAUGUCUUAUGGAAAGAGUUGACCUGAGCAUAUUGAAGUUAAGAGGAAACAAAUUACAUGGCGUGCUACCUGAAAAUAUUAGAGAAGGAUGUAAGCUUCAGACAAUUGAUUUCAAUGAAAAUCAAAUUGAAGGUGCGCUACCUAGAUCACUAGCAAAUUGCCAAGACUUAGAGGUUCUUGAUGUUGGCAGUAAUCAUAUUGUAGAUUCAUUUCCAUCAUGGAUGGGUACUCUUCCAAAGCUUCGAAUUCUUGUGUUGAGAUCUAACCAACUGUAUGGCACUAUAAGGGAUCUUCGCAGUGGCUACCAACACUUCACAAGUUUGCAAAUAGUUGAUUUGGCCUCCAACCAUUUCUCUGGUGUCUUACAUUCUGAAUGGUUUGAGAAUUUUAUUUCAAUGAUGAAUAACAACAAUGAUGAGGGGCAGAUAUUAGAGCACGAAACAAAUGCAUCACGGGCACCAUUGUAUCAAGAUACUGUCACUAUCACAUUCAAAGAUGCUGAUUUAAGCAUCACCAAAAUCCUUACUACUUUCAAAGUAAUUGAUUUGUCAAAUAACUCAUUUGAGGGUUCCAUUCCAAGUUCAAUUGGAAGGCUUGCUUCACUUCACGGACUUAACAUGUCGCACAAUAACUUCACGGGAGAAAUUCCAUCACAACUUGGGAGGUUAACAAGGUUGGAAUCAAUAGAUCUCUCUUGCAACAAUCUCUCGGGAGAAAUUCCACAGGAGUUUACCUCCCUAACUUCUCUUUCCUGGUUGAACCUUUCGUAUAACAACUUGACGGGAAGAAUACCGCAGGGAAACCAAUUCUUGUCAUUUCCCAGCAGUUCGUUUGAAGGCAAUGCUGGUCUAUGUGGAAUUCAGCUUUCCAAGGAAUGUGACACUCGUCCAGAUUCAACCACCCCAAGCACAUUGGCUCCACAACGCAAUACUUUGUGGCAGGAUAGACUUGAUGCCAUCAUUUUGUUCCUCUGUGCUGGCUUGGGCUUUGGCGUGGGUUUUGCAUUGGCAAUCAUAUUCGGUCCCUUUUACCACAUAGAAGAAUGGCUUUGCAAGCAUUUGUAAUAGUAAUAUAAGUUUUCAACAAGAAUAAUUAUGUAUGUUUGUCUUGUUCUCGUUAUUAGAUGAGACAUUUUAAAUCCACUCAGUUGUAAUUACGUUGUAACUAGUCCAUCAACCCGUACUUCCACAUGAGCUAGUAUUUUCAAAAGCUGUUGUAUUUGAAAAUUAUUUAGAAAUUAAACACCUUGCUAAUAAUCAAAAUUAUUUACUUAUUACUCUCUCAUUUUUCAACACUUCAACGUAGUACUCAAAUAGAUGUGUACUUAUUUUUAUCCAGUUGUGAUUGAUUUUUAAUUAGUAAUUACUCUAUACACUUUUUCAUCCACAUUCACACUUUUUUAUUUUAUAUCACACCUCCAUAAAUUGUGUUUAGCAUCAAAAUUAAUAUUUUUCAUCACUUCCUCACAUACAUGUAUAAAUGGUCUACAUGGUGUCAUUCAUCAUGUCUAUAUACCUUAAUUUAAUAUUUCUAUAUUAACAAUGACAUAAACUGGUAAUUUAAAAUCAUAUAUUAGUUUAUUUUUGGAUAUUUCUGUAUGAUGCACAUGCAUGAAGAUAAUUAAAUUAAGAAUUAUCUGUUUACUUUAGAUUAUUUUUAAAAACGACGUACAUGGGUAACUUAGAUACAAAUUUAGAAUGACAUUUUAAGUUAUGCUUUAUAACGAUAGUCAUGAUUAAAUUGGAUGAAGAUUAUGGGUUACUUUACAUUAUCUUUUAUAAUGGCAGGUAAAUUAGAUAUAGGUUUAGGGUUUAUAAUGAUAGUGGUGGGUAAGUUUUUAGAAAAUAUAAUAGACCAAUGACUAUGAUUAAUAUAGUUUGCAUGAUUGAUAUUUGAUAUUUAUGAUUAUUGUGAGAAUUUCUAGGAUUUGUGUUUUUUAGCGUAUCUCUUGAGAACUAAUGCAGAGUCUCCAAUGAAAAAAAAAUAAGGCCACAUCGCUAAAAAAAUUACCUUGAGCUAUUUCUCAUUUAUUAAAUAUUGAAACACAAUAGUUAUAUAGAUAUAUAAUUAUGAUCGAUAGAUUUUAAUUGGUAAUUUCUCUUCAACAUUUUCAUCCACAUUUGUAUUGAAGAUAUGCGCUUGAAUUUGUUUAAUGGAUCUUAAGUUUGAGCUAUCAUUUUAACAUAGAAAUUUGUAUUUCCAUCACUUUCUCUAUAUCUUUAUGAAUGGUGACACACAUCAUGCCUAUAUACCUUAAUUAUUAUAUCGUAUACCUACAGCGUAAGAAAUAGACGAUUUAAUAUCGUAUUUUGAUGUAUAUUUUUAUUUAAGGUGAUUUGGAUUCAAAUGUAGUUUACCUCAUGUUAUUUCUAAAUAGCAUAUGUGGGUAAUAAAGAUGCAAAUUUAAGGGGUCAUGUUAACUUAUUUUUUAAGUAUUAGUGGUGGGAUAUUUAGUUGCAAAUUUAGGGGGUUAUUUUAAAUGUUAUUUAUAAUGGUAUAAGUGGGUAACUUUGAUAAAGAUUAGGUGGUUACUUUAGUUUAGUUUAUAUAAUGGUAGAGGUGGGUAAUUUAGAUAUAGACUAGCAAAAUAUCGUGCGUUGCUACGGUAAAAGAUCAAUUCUAAUGAUAUUUUUUAUUUCCAUCACUAAAUUUUUAUUCCACUUAUUGGACGUCUACACAUUUAAUAGAAAACUAAAAGAAUUUUGACUUAAUUAUUUCCUUCAACUCAAAUACCCAUUACAUUAAAAUAUUUUUUAUUCAAGCAAGAGAGUUAAAUCAGCCUCAUAUGGCCACCGAUGGGGCUCUUUAGUCCUUCUAGCCAUGUAAUAUCUUUUCACAUGUAUUUCAUCAAACAGGAGACGGCACGCUCAAACUUUUCCAUCAUGCACAUCCCGUUGUAGGUACGGUGGCUUAGGUUACACCUUAUUUGGAUGGGCUAUAACUACCUUUUAAAUGGUUAAUUAGGGGGUGUUUAGUAGCACUCAACUUCAAUUUUUUUAGCUCCACUCUACCAACUCCACUCCAGUUUAAUUUUUUUAGCUCCACUCCACUUCAACUCCACUCUACCAACUUGAGAAAAAUAAUAAAGUUGUCUACGUACUUGGCAGAAACAUGCCGUGCCCCCCCCCCCCCCCCCCCCCCCGCAAUAGCAAACCAACAGGCUGCCUUCUUCACCGGUCAAGCAAGCUGCUUGCUCCUCUCUCAAAUCCGAACAACAGUGCAACGCCCGAACAACAGUGCAACGACGGGCGGAGAGCCUGGCGCGAGCGGAGCAGCAGCCUAACCCUGGCCAUGACCUCCACCCCGACGAUCCAAGCAGCAGCAGCGUGGCCCCUGCUCCGGCCCCGACCCCAGCGAGGUGACCCAACCGUGGAGGGCAGGGGCGGCGCGGCCACGGUGGGACCUCCCCUGGUCGCCUCGGCGGGCAAGAGGAUCCUGAAGCCCUAAAACGUGCCGAAAGCAGUUACCUGAGACACUGUUACAGUAACCUUUGGGGGUGGAGCAUCACAGCAAUACAGCACAGAGUAAAAUCUCUGAGGAUUCCAUGCUUUUUGCGACAGCAACUCUCGUUAGUACGUACAGGCAAGUGAUGCAAAACAUGGCAUAACUACAUCUAAAGCAUUAUCUGCUCUUUACAUGCUGAUUUUAACUCUGUACAGCAAGGAAACGGGAGCAUUUUUUUCCCCUGAAAAUCUGUAUAGUUCUGAAGUGUUGUACAUCUUCGUAAAAGAUUAAUUGAAAAAUGAUAUAGCACAACAUACAACCACACUUGCUAAUUCAAACGACACGAAGCAACACCUCAUAUAGAUCCAAUUCCAACAAAUAUAAGCAGAACAUAUGUCCCAUUUUCCAUCAAACAAGUUUUGUACAAAAGUUCUAUAAGCGGAUUAGCACCACCUCAUAUCUUUUUUACAGUAUACAACCAUAAGAAAAAUAGAAAAAUAAGAGUCGCCAGAUUUCUGUGGCAUGCGAGUGCGAUAGGGUAGCUGAGGUCACCUAUACGAGGGGCGAUAGGGGGAUCUGCUACGGAUGGGGCUUGGACUUCGGUCCCUGCAGCCCCUCCGGCCGCGGUACCGCGCGGGGGGUGGCGACCGCGACAGGUCGCGCGGCAUCGCGCGCGACGAGAUCUAGAGCCUCCGCGGAGCCCGGAACCCCACGGAUCUGGCCGAGACCCGACGAUCGGAGAGGCACGGUGGUUGAAAGGAGGUCAGUGAAGGGGGGUUGAAGAUGCCGGUAGCUCAGCACAGUGGCACAACUGAGCAUUCCUUUCCUCAAUCUCCCGAUUCAUGUCAUCCCACUUCUGAUCUAGUUCCUCGAGCUUGGCCAGUAUCACAGCACACAUCUCCUCCGUCAUGUUCACUCGUGUUCCGAUGCGGUGGUAGUGGUGGUUUUUUGAUCGAAAUAGUUGUGAACCAAAUGUCACACCCUAGAUGCAACUCACAGAACAAAUUAUCCCCCAACGAUGAACUACGGAAUAUAUAUAUGAAGUAUACUAGAAUUUGGAUACACAUGGAUGAGGAACUCGCUAGUGUUCUCGAGCCGAAGCUUGCCACCGCAGAGCCAAUGAGUCCCAAAUCCAGUUCUUCUUUCCCUCACGACGACUUUUUAAUCCUCUUACAUGCUGCGCCAGCUAUGCUGCAGCGAUGCCCGUUCAUGGGCCUAUCUUAACUACCUUAGCCAUUCGGGCCCAACAAGGAUAAUGUUGGGCUUCCGUACCUGAUGGCCCACAACUUCGGCUUUACUGCACUUUAGAUAAAUAUCAUGUACGGUUCACUAGAGAAGCCUCCACCAGUGAUAGUUGCUAGUUAGUACAGGUCUUAUCUACAACCUUGCAUUAGCUAUCUCACUCUAGUUUGGCUAGCUGUCUGCUUACUCGAAGCUUGAGGCAUGUUUCUUUAAUAUAGUUUUCUUUUCUUCUUGGAUGUUUAUAGCACAUACGUGAUCUUUUGAAGUACUGCUAUAGAGAGGAAGACAAGUUCUUCUCAUUUAACAUCUUUUUUUUUUCAAUUUAUUUUUGUUAAACUUUUAGAUCAAUCGUUUGAAUUCUCCUCAAUAUUUGCUUGCUUCAUGUUCUCUUUGUUUUUGUGCAACAGUAUGAUCUUGGAAUAGGAAUGCUGCAAGACAAUUCAAAUAGAAGGUUAGUUUCAUCAUAUUAUAUGGUUAAAAUUACUUUAAAAUUAUAUGGUUAAAAUUACUUUGUAAUGGUUGACUGUCACUGUUGUUUGCAUUGGCAGAUCAUGGAUGGAAUUCCUGCAAGAGCCAAGCACAAACUGUUGUCAGCGCUUCUCUGUUGAUGUUUCGUUUCUCGUUACCACCUUUCUUGCAGACCGGUUAGGGUUAGGUUACACCAUCUGCUUCAGGUGAUUUCGGGAAUGUGGAAUGUUUCCUCUUCAUUUGAGAAGAAAGAGAGAGUGUUUUGUUCGAAUAUUACAGGUGCGUAUGUUUAUGCAUGGCUUUUCAGGGCUCAAAUCAAGGGGAAAAAAUAGACUAAUGGGCUGGUAAAUUUAUGUUCUGGUAAAAAUAGACUAAUGGCUUUAUUUAGUUCCAAGAAUCCUGGUGAACUCCGGAACUUAAAAUGAAAUCCUAAAAUUGUUUCUCUAACCUCCUAUCUCAAUAUGGGCUGUUCUUUUUUUUUUUCUUUCUGGUCAACUAUUUCCCCCAACUUACGGACCCAUCUCGGCCUGCAGGCCUGCCGAGGCCUCUUCUCUCCUUUCGUCGUUCGGUCCCUCUAAUUUCGCUCUUGUGCUUGCGCACCAGGCGCCAUCUCUCACCGCGCCAGGAGCUUUGCAGCGCCAGACGGCCCCGCUCCACACCACAAUAUUCUUCCUUGGAACCUGCGGGCUCCGCUGAGCCGCUGCGUGAUCUUCUAUUCGCGACUCUGUGUACCUCGCCGUGUUACAAUUGCCUUCACUUUACUUCAUCAUUGCUCUCUAACCUAGGUACUCGGUUAUGAACAGCGCGCCGGCUAAGCGAGUACCCGGUGAAGGCGAGCGCAACGAGCCCUAGCACAUGGCAUCCAUCGAAAACUACAUAAUUUUCAGAGUAUGGAAUUUUCAGUCCGCGGUGUGGCCAACAUUAUCUUUAUAUGAUUAUAUUUGCAAACAGAGUUUUUAAGUAACAACGCAAAUAAAACACUCUCGUGUCAUUGCUCUAAAGGGGGAGAAAGGAAUAACAGAAACAACACCGUGCCAUUCCCCAGAAACAAAGAACAACGGUAAAAGUGGUUCUAGAUGAAGCUUAAAUUGACCAUCGAUGGCGAUUGUAUCGACACGGCAAACAUCCAGACAGCUAGCAUUGACUGACUUGGCCUAUUGAGUACUCCGCGGAACUCGGUACGUCUUAUGACAAGUCUCGUUUGACUCGAAUUAUUGACCUUCACUGUCCUUCGUCAUUGCUCUCUAACCUAGGUACUCGGUUAUGAACAACGUGCCGGCUAAGUGAGUACUCGGUGAAGGCGAGCCCAACUUGCCCCAGCACAUCGCAUCCAUCGAAAAUACAGAAUUUCCAAAGUAUGGAAUUUUCAGUGUGCGUUGUGGCCAACACUAUCUUUAUAUGUUUUAUUUGCAAACCGAGUUUUUAAGUAACAACGCAAAUAAAACACUCUCGUAUCAUUGCUCUAAAGGGGGAGUAAGGAAUAACAGAAAUAACGUCGUGCCAUUCCCCGGAAACAAAGAACAACCGUAAAAAUUGGUUCUAGAUGAAGCUAAAUUGAUCAUCGAUGGCGAUUGUAUCGACACGGCAAACAUCCAGACAGCUAGCAUUGACUGACUUGGCUGAUACAUCCACUUCACUGUUGAGUACUCCAGGGAACUCGACAGGUCUUAUGACAAGUCUCGGUUGACUCGAAUUGUUGACCUUAGGACAGUGACCUUGAUUUCCUCAUCCCCUUUCCUAUUGUCUUGCGGUCCUGAUGCCCAUUACCCAGUGCCUACCAGUGUGUGCUUCUCCCUCCGAUUGUACAUACGUGCGGGUCCCACAUGUCAGCCCCUUCCAUCCUCUUUACUUUAUAAUCUCCAAAGCAUGGGCCGCCCUUCUUUGUUACCUGUAUGGCUGUAUCACCUCCCCUGCCGAUGAGUGCCCAUGCAUGCUGAUACUUUGGUACCAUCUGCUCCAACCAAGCACCACCUCUCAUGCAAGUCAACAUAGAUGGUAUUUGGUGUCAAUUCACUGGUUAUAUUUUUAAAUGAAUUUAAUAUAAAUUUUGAUUAUCUAUUGCUUCUAAAUUCCUGUCGAAAUUAAUUUGAUAAUUUUUUAACCUAUAAUAUCCUAUACUUCAUUUUAUGAGGAAACUAUCAGAAAAUGAAUUGUAAUUUUUAUGACUCAUAUCUAUUUCCUCUCUUUAUUAGAUAUUUUGCUUUCCAAUUGUAUGUAAUCAAACUUUUAUUUAUUUUUAUCAUUCGGAGUUUUAGUUUUUUAUUACUUCCAUGUCAAGAUGAUAUUCUGGACAAGAUUCCAAUCAACCUUUUGAAAAUCUAACCACUAUUGACAGCUUUUAGAAUAUUCAGUUUGAAAAUUUAGAAUACUCAUUGAAAGACAUAAUAUAAUAUUUUGUAUGUUUAUAUAAUAUCUUCUUACUGAAAAUAGUGGCCACACAGCUAUGUUAUCCAAAACACCACCUUUUCUUUAAGAACGGGGGAACGAUUGUUUUUUUUCUAUUUUAUUAAUAUGAUAUUUUAUAGUCAAUCCGGAGACUUGUUUUCUCUUAGCUUUGCCUUAUUAAAAUAACAAUUGAAGAUUCCGUAAUGUGUGGUUCAGAUAUUUACUUCCAUGCGAGUUUAUAUUUUGGCUCCAGUUCGCUGGUCUUCCUCUCGAGUCAGCGACCGGAACGAGAGAACAGAAUAUCUACACACGAUUGAUUGGAAUUUGGAAACUGCAAACCAGUAGCGCAAUGGCUCCUGCCAUGGAUCGCCUCCACAACCUUCUGGUCCUGCUCUUGUUCAUAGGUUGCCUCUUCAUAGAUGCUGCCGCCAAGCUUAACACCACAGCGCCUUGCCUCCCGGAUCAAGCUUCUUCCCUCCUCCGGCUAAAAGCUUCCUUCAUCGGUGACAACCUACCAUCAUGGCAAGCUGCAACAGAUUGUUGCCACUGGGAGGGCGUCACCUGCGACAUGGCCUUUGGAAGAGUCAUUUCUCUUGACCUCAGUGAGUUCCACCACCUAAUGAGCAGUCGUCUUGAUCCUGCGCUCUUCAACCUCACCUCUCUCAGGAACCUCAGCCUUGCAUCUGUUGACUUCAGAGGAGUCUCGCUCCCGGCUUUUGGGUUUGAGCGGCUCACGGAUAUCAUUUACCUCAACCUCUCUGAUACCGGUUUUAUGGGUAAGAUCCCAAUUGGAAUUGCGUGCCUCAAGAACCUUGUGACCAUUGACUUGUCUUAUAAUUACGAAUUGUAUUUUGAACGGCCAAGUUUCCAAACCAUCAUGGCAAAUAUGAGCAAUCUGAGGGAGCUUUAUCUUGAUGAAGUGGGUUUACAGAACAUCGGAUCGGAUUGGUCCACUGUUUUAGCAGACUCCGUUCCCCAGCUACAGAUUCUUAGCUUGCCCUGGUGUGGUUUAUCAGGUUCUAUCCACCCUUCAUUCUCAAGGCUUCGCUCACUUACGGUGAUCAACCUCAGAUACAAUGAUGGACUCACCGGCAAAGUCCCGGAGUACUUUUCUGAACUAUCUUCCUUGACCAUUUUAGACAUAUCAGGAAGUCAAUUUGAAGGGCAAUUUCCAACAAAAAUAUUCCAGCUAAAAAGUUUGAGGACGCUUGAUUUGUCCUGGAACCCCAUGCUUUCUGUGAGAUUAACAUAUUUCCCAGCUGGAAACAAUUUGGAAGUACUAAAUCUAGAAGGGACCAAUUUGUCUUAUGACACGCCAUUGGGGCAAUCUCGAGUCUUUAAAGACAUUGGGGCUUAGCACGAUGGGAAUUGAUAAUGAACUCUUCUCUUUGAUAUCUGAGCUUCCAGCAUUGGAUUACCUGCGACUCACUGGAUCAGAUUUGGAGAACCCGGUAUUAUCUUGGGUCAGCAAUCUUACCCAAUUGACAAACCUGGUGCUUGAAGGUUAUGACUUCUCAAACUCGGUUCCCACUUGGAUCGGCAAAUUGACAAGGCUGGAAAUUUUGACAAUAUGGGAUUGCAGUUUCUCCGUGCCAAUACUGUACCAGAUUAGAAAUCUUACUAAAUUGGCAGCGCUGGAGUUCACUGGUUGCGACUUAUCUGAGCAAACAAUGCCAUCAUGGAUAGGCAAUCUUACAAAGUUGACUUCUUUGACCAUUGAAGAUUGCAGUUUAUCUGGGCCAAUACCCUCUACAAUUGGAAACCUGAUCCAACUUGAAGAGUUGGUGUUCUGGGAUACUAACAUCAGCGGUGAGACUAUGUCCCUGUUACUUUCUUUCUAGAUACCUCCUUUUAUUUUGCAACUGUAGACAGAUCAUACACCUACUAUAUGACACGCCAUGCAUACACCGUUAAAAAAAUAAUAAUGAAUUUAAGUGAAGAAGAAAAUUUAACACUACCAAAUCGACAGAGUGAUCUUCAGAAAACAAGAAAAAGGCUUUGGCUAGUAAUUUUCGGCAAUGUUGAGAAAAGAAAAACACUGAUAUUUUCACUUUGAGUCUAUGACCAAUUUCCAUAGUUUAGUAGUUUGGAAGGUUAGAUGCCUUUAACACUAGUACACACGAGUCACGACUCAGGUCCUCUUUUCCUUCUUUUUUCUGUAAAUAUAGUAUUGGUCCAUUUACAAAUAUACCAAGGAAUAUUAAUUUUUUUGGACAGGCCUUUUUUUAUUAUUUUGACCAGAUUUACAUGUAAAUGUUCUCUAACGAUAAAUCAACUUUAGAAUAUAUCAUUUGUAGAUCGAAACACUGGAUCUGUUAAAAUAUAUAUUGAAUAUGUUGUGUUAAAAUUGUUCGGCUUUCCCUGGUCUAAGGCCUCUUUGAAACAAAGGAACAACAAAAGGAAGGACUAGGUUUUUUGAGCAUGGUCUCUCUCCCUCUCUCUCUCUCAAACCUGAGCGUGGUCUGGAUUUUCUACUUGUUAUGAUUUGUGAAGGAAGAGGACCCUUUCUUGUGGAAUUGGAAUUGGAGGGUGCAUUCCAAAAUUCCAAAAUUCAAACGGUUCUUUCCUUUCCUCCAGAACGCAGUUACUUUUGUGUCCUUACCCCCUCAGUGUCGUGGCUUCUUUAGGCCAGUCUCAAUGCACAAUUUCAUUGCAAUGUUACAAAAAUUGCAAAUUUGGUAACUGUGCAGGUAGGGUUUCAUGAGGAUGAAACUCCUCUCUCAUUUCAUGAAACUCCAUCCUCUCUCUCCUCAUAAAGACCUUGACAAAUCAGCAAAAUUGCUGAUGUGGUAUAGAAAUUAAUGCUGACGAAACUUUUUAUAACACUUCCACUAAGACUGGCCUUAGAUUGCAGCAACAUUCGGAUAUGUCUAGCUCCAAUGUAAUGAGAUGCUAAUUUGUUUCAAUUUCAUACUAGCGCUUUUAGUGUGAAGAAGCAUUAAUAAAGUCUACAACAUUCUAACUGUUGGUAUUCUACCCUAACAUGCAGGAAAAAUUCCGAAGUCUUUGUUCGCUCUUCCAGUCCUGCAGCAGCUUCAUCUAGUUAGGAAUCAGCUUGUUGGCCCACUAGAAGACAUUCCUGCUCUUUUAUCGUCACCAAUGCGGGAGAUCGAUUUAGGAGGUAAUCAAUUGACAGGCCCAAUACCAAAAUCACUUUUUCAGCUCACGAAUCUUGAGCGUCUUCUUCUAGCUGAGAAUCAGCUUGUUGGUUCACUAGAAGACAUUCCUGCUCCUUUAUCAUCACCAUUGCGGGAGAUCGAUUUACAAGGUAAUCAAUUGACAGGUCCAAUACCAAAAUCACUUUUUCAGCUCACGAAUCUUGAGUAUCUCAAUCUUGGCUCGAAUAAAUUGACAGGCACAAUAGAACUUGGCUCUAUACGGAGGUUGAAAAAUCUCAUUAUUCUCGACCUGGGUAACAAUAUGAUAUCACUCGUAGAAAAAGAAGGUGAUACGAUAUUCUCUUAUUCCCUUAAAAUCCAGACCUUAUACCUUGCAUCUUGCAACCUUACAAAAUUUCCGGAACCAUUAAAAUAUCUUGACACUAUUCAAUAUCUCGACCUUUCCAAUAACCAAAUCGAAGGGGCCAUACCAAGUUGGGUGUGGGAGAAACCACUGCUUCAGUUGAACCUCUCACACAACAUGUUUACUACUUUAGAGAAGUCUCCUACUGUUCAGAUGACACAUUUAAAUUCUCUUGAUCUCAGUUCUAAUAGAAUUCAAGGAAGCAUACCAAUACCAUCAACUCCAUCCGACCUGAUUCUGUUGGAUUACUCAAAUAAUAACUUCUCUACCAUUGAACCGAACUUUGGCAGGUAUCUUACAAAUGCCCACUACAUCAAUUUGUCAAAAAAUAAAUUAAGUGGCCAUGUACCACUUUCAUUUUGUAGUUUAAGCCAACUUGAGCACAUGGACUUAUCUUACAAUAACUUUAGUGGACCAAUUCCAUCAUGUCUUAUGGAAAGAGUUGACCCGAGCAUACUGAAGUUAAGAGGAAACAAAUUACAUGGCGUGCUACCUGAAAAUAUUAGAGAAGGAUGUAAGCUUCAGACAAUUGAUUUCAAUGAAAAUCAAAUUGAAGGUGCGCUACCUAGAUCACUAGCAAAAUGCCAAGACUUAGAGGUUCUUGAUGUUGGCAGUAAUCAUAUUGUAGAUUCAUUUCCAUCAUGGAUGGGUACUCUUCCAAAUCUUCGAAUUCUUGUGUUGAGAUCUAACAAACUCUAUGGCACUAUAAGGGAUCUUCGCAGGGGCUACCAACACUUCACAAGUUUGCAAAUAGUUGAUUUGGCCUCCAACCAUUUCUCUGGUGACUUACAUUCCGAAUGGUUUGAGAAUUUUAUUUCAAUGAUGAAUAACAGCAAUGAUGAGGGGCAGAUAUUAGAGCACCAUCCAACUGGACCAAUGACACGAUUGUAUCAAGAUACUGUCACUAUCACCUUCAAAGAUGCUGCUUUAAGCAUCACCAAAAUCCUUCGUGCUUUCAAAGUAAUUGAUUUGUCAAAUAACUCAUUUGAGGGUUCCAUUCCAAGUUCAAUUGGAAGACUUGCUUCACUUCACGGACUUAACAUGUCGCACAAUAACUUCACGGGAGAAAUUCCAUCACAACUUGGGAAGUUAACAAGGUUGGAAUCAAUGGAUCUCUCUUGCAACCAUCUCUCGGGAGAAAUUCCACAGGAGUUUACCUCUCUAACUUCUCUUUCCGUGUUGAACCUUUCGUACAACAACUUGACAGGAAGAAUACCGCAGGGAAACCAAAUCUUGUCAUUUCCCAGCAGUUCGUUUGAAGGCAAUGCUGGCCUAUGUGGAAUUCAGCUUUCCAAGGAAUGUGACCCUCGUCCAGAUUCAACCACCCCAAGCACAUUGGCUCCAGAACACAAUGCUUUGUGGCAGGAUAGACUUGAUGCCAUCAUGUUGUUCCUCUGUGCUGGCUUGGGCUUUGGCGUGGGUUUUGCAUUGGCAAUCAUAUGCGGUCCCUUUUACCACAUAGAAGAAUGGCUUUGCAAGCAUUUGUAUUAGUAAUAUAAGUUUUCAACAAGAAUAAUUAUGUAUGUUUGUGCUGUACUCGUUAUUAGAUGAGACAUCUUAAAUCCACUCAGUUGUAAUUACGUUGUAACUAGUCCAUCAACCCGUACUUCCGCAUGGGCAAAUAUUUUUAAAAGCUGUUGUAUUUGAAAAUUAUUUAGAAAUUAAACUCCUAGCUAAUAAUCAAAAUUGUUUACUUAUUACUCUCACAUUUUUUCAAUACUUCAACAUAGUACUCAUAUAGAUGUGUACUCAUCUUUGUCUAGUUGUGAUUGAUUUUUAAUUAGUAAUUACUCUAUACACUUUUUCAUCCACAUUCACACCUUUCCAUUUUUUAUUGCACCUCCGUACAUUGUGUUUAGCAUCAAAAUUAAUAUUUUUCAUCACUUUAUCACAUACAUGUAUAAAUGGUCUACAUGGUAACACUCAUCAUGUCUAUAUACCUUAACUUAGUAUUUCUAUAUUAACAAUGACAUAAACUAGUAAUUUAGAAUCAUAUAUUAGUUUGUUUUUAGACAUUUCUAUAUGAUGCAUAUGCAUGAAGAUAAUUAGAUUAAGAAUUAGGUGUUUACUUUAGAUUAUUUUUAAAAAUGACAUACAUGAGUAACUUAGAUACAAAUUUAGAAUGGCAUUUUAAGUUAUGCUUUAUAAUUGUAGGCAUGGGUAAAUUGGAUGAAGAUUAUGGGGUUACUUUACAUUAUUUUUUUAUAAUGGUAGGGCUUGGUAAUUUAGAUAUAGGUUUGGGGUUUACAAUGACAGUGGUGGGUAACUUUUUAGAAAAUAUAAUAGACCAAUGACUAUGAUUAAUAUAGUUUGCAUGAUUGAUAUUUGAUAUUUAUGAUUUUUGUGAGAAGUAAUUGUGUUUUUUUAGCAUAUCUCUUAAGAACCAAUGCAGAGUCUCCAAUGGAAAAAAAUGAGGCCACAUUGCUAUAAAACUAUUACCUUGAGCUCCUUCUCAUUUGUUAAAUAUUCAAAAACAUACUUAUAUAGAUAUAUAAUUAUUAUCUUCACCCGAUUGCGAUAGAUUUUAGUUUGUAAUUUCUCUUUAACAUUUUCAUCCAUAUUUAUAAUCUUUAAUUUUUCACUUUGCAUUGCAAAUAUGCGCUUGAAUUUGUUUAAUGGAACCUAAGUUUGAGCUAACAUUUUAACAUAAAAAUUUAUAUUCCCAUCACUUUAAUUCUCUAUAUCUUUAUAAAUGGUGAAAGACAUCUUGCCUAUAUACCUUAAUUAUUAUAUGAUAUACCUAUAGUGUAAGAAAUAGAUGAUUUAGAAUCAUAUAUUGGUGUAUAUUUUGAAUUAAGGUUAUUUGGAUUCAAAUGUAGGGUUACCUCAUGUUAUUUUUAAUAAUAGCAUAUAUGGGUAAUAUAGAUGCAAAUUUAAAGGGUCAUGUUAAGUUAUUUUUUAAGUAUUAGUGGUGGGCAAUUAGUUGGUAAUUUAGGAGGUUAUUUUAAAUAUUAUUUAUAAUGGUACAUGUGGGUAAUUUUGAUAAAUAUUAGGGGUUAGUUUAGUUUAGUUUAUAUAAUAGCAUAUGGGUAAUUUAGAUGUAGAUUUAGGGGUUACUUUAGGCUAUUUUCAUAAUGGCAUAGGUGGAUAAUUUUUUUUAGAAAAACAUAAUAGAUCUAAUGGCUAUGAUGAGUUGAGUCUACAGAUUGAUGGCCAGAUGUUUUGCUUUUUUAUGAGAAUUUCUACGAUAAGAAAUGCAGCGGUGGUCCUCUCUAUAAAAUUUGCAUGGGUCUUAAAGCAGACAAACUUAUUAAUUAAAUAUUUUUUAGUUAUCUUUAUUCUGGGUCUCUUCUAGGCCAGCCCAGUCCAUGUCCAGAUGAGUCUGUUUCCUCCCGAUCCGUUUUAGUCCCUCUGAACGGCGGCUCAUGUUCCUCGCGAAAAGAACGGAGCAACGAUGGCUUGCGGCGGCGCUCCAUGGCAGUGGCACAUCAUAAAGGCGGUGGAAGCAUCCAACAUGUGGUUGGACUGAAACAUUUUCAUGAUUAUUCCUUCUGUGAAGUUAGUCACCUUGCAAUGUGCAAGCUAGAAACAAUAUCAUUGCAAGCAUAAUAAGGUACAACAUCUGCAAUGUUUCUCAUGAAUGUGUGGAAUGGCCUCCGGACACGACGUCCGCAAAACGGUCAGGAAUAAUGAACCAAGUAGCAAUUAAUGUGCAGGCGCCGUAUGUAGAGCAGGUUGGGAUUUGGGAAGUCCGGUGUCACUGCAGUCCACCUCGUCCGGUAGCACGAUUACACCUGCCUGACGAGGAGAUGGUACCGCUACAUGUGCUAAGGACGUCGAGUUGUCGAGGUCCCAGCUAGACGCGCGACUCUCUCUUGGUGCAGCCGUUUCCCUCUCCGGGCAGUGGCGAUCUCACUCACCGGCGCAGCUCCGUGCAGCCGCUACAUGUGCACCUCCAUUAUUGAUUAUGUCGGCCACUGAUAUUCUCUUUAUCCAAUCCAAUCAAAUCCAAUCGUAUUGGCUGGGUAGGAGUGGGCGAGGCGAGGCAAGGCCCAAGAUUAUCCCACUGCUAAAAAAAUUAAGAAAUAAACUAAUCUUGUUGCUUUGAAACGCGUGCUAAUUUUUAGAAAGGGACCACCAGAGCAUUUCUCUUCUAUGAUUUCUCUCUUUUUCUAAGUGUCCACUUAGGAUUCUAGGUAGUUUCACCUGAAGGCUUCAGAAGGAGUCUCUAAUUAGUAAUAUUUACUGAAUUUCAUAAGGCCCCGUUUGGAUCAUUGGAAUUGAAUUCCAUCAUAAUAAUCAUAAUUUAGACACAAAUUAAUUAAGCUAAUAUAAUUGUAUGUGAAAUAUAGUUGUAUAUUAUAGUUGGUGAUAUGGGAGAGAUACUUAUGUGCUGCACUUCUACCAUAGAGAAGCGAGUCUAAGAGCGUGCUAUAAGAAUUGAAUUCCAUUCUAAUAACCAUAAUCUAUAGAAUCAAUUUCCAUCUCCCACCCCAUGAAUUUAAGAUAAGCUUAUAUAUAAACUUUGGAAAGUUGUGGAAUGCCACAUUCCAACAUAAAUUAGCCUACUCCAUUAAAUAGAUUCCAAUUCCUUCAUACCAAACGGGGCCUAAGUGAUUUUCAAAGAGAGUUUUUUUUUGACAGCACUCCAAGUCUCCAACUUGAUAUCAACUGAAACUGAAAGCCGGCCAAGGUGCUGGUUGUAUCUGAGUACCACUAUCCAGAAUCUCCACUUGUAUUGGCGGUGGCCAUGGAUGCUUCAGAAGCUCACCAUCUCUACUUGGCUGAAUGGCGUCCACAAUAUUGGCCUUAGAUCAUCUGCACUGUGCAAUGCAUGUUACCGGCAUUACCCUGAACACCUUGAGGGCAUUGUAGACACCAGUGCCAAUACACAGCAGAAACAUGUCAUCUGUUAGAGCCGGGCUCUCGCUGGUGAUUUGGAAGUCGCAGACGUUGUUGCUGUUGAUUGUGGUGAACAAAGUUAGGGUGGUGGCUAGAGCACUCGCGGUCGGUGGAACACAAGCAUUGUGGAUAUGACUGGGCAUUGAACAUCUGGUGGGCGUCACGGAUUAGCACUCCGUAGUGGUGAUAGAGAUGGCUAGGGUGGCAUCCUGGUCAGAGUAGAGGUGGAUGUAGAGGGAAGUGCCGAGGAUGCGGUCUUGGACACCAGAAUGCAGGUGUCAUGGUAAAGGGAAGUCUUUGGACACCUUGUGGGCGCCAUCUCUAGAACCUCGGUGGCCCUGACAGAACGAUGCGGAAAGCUGUUGGUUAUGCCGAGGUCAUGGCUGUAGGCACUUGAAAGCAGGUGGCCUGGUUAGGACCCGCCAUCGAACACCUGGUGGGCGCCACUGGUUGAAGCUCCGUGGCCGUGAUGAGAAUGACAACAGAGGCAUCCCGUGGUGGAAAGGAGGUCAGUGAAGGGGGGUUGAAGAUGCCGGUGGCUCAGCACGGUGGCACAACUGAGCAUUCCUUUCCUCGAUCUUCCGAUUCAUGUCAUCACACUUCUGAUCUAGUUCCUCGAGCUUGGCCAGUAUCACAGCACACAUCUCCUCCGUCAUGUUCACUCGUAUUCCGAUGCAGUGGUAGUGGUGGUUUUUGAUCGAAAUAGCUGUGAACCAAAUGUCACACCCUAGAUGCAACUCACAGAACAAAUUAUCUCCCAACAAUGAACUACGGAAUAUAUAUGGAGUAUACUAGAAUUUGGAUACACAUGGAUGAGGAACUCGCUAGUGUUCUCGAGUCGAAGCUUGCCGCCGCAGAGCCAAUGAGUCCCAAAUCCAGUUCUUCUUUCCCUCAUGACGACUAUUUUAUCCUCUUACAUGCUGCGCCAGCUAUGCUGCAGCGAUACCCGUUCAUGGGCCUAUCUUAACUACCUUAGCCAUCGGGCCCAACAAGAAUAACGUUGGGCUUCCGAACCUGAUGGCCCACAACUUCAGCUUUACUUCACUUAAGAUAGUUGCUAGUUAGUACUCCCUCCGUCCCAAAUUAUAGGUCGUUUUGACUUUAUUAGAUUCAUAGACUUUGUUAUGCACUUAGAUAUCUAGAUGCAUAAUAAUAUCUAUGUAUCUAGAAAAGUCAAAACGAUCUAUAAUUUGGAACGGAGGGAGUACAUGUCUUAUCUACAACCCUGCAUUAGCUAUCUCACUCUAGUUUGGCUAGCUGUCAGGACAGUCUGCUUACUCGAAGCUUGAGGCAUGUUUCUUUAAUAUAGUUUUCUUUUUCUUCUUGGAUAUUUA